RNAcentral lists this ribosomal RNA (253 nucleotides) under uncultured bacterium. Its description in RNAcentral is "partial 16S ribosomal RNA". It matches the Rfam family "Bacterial small subunit ribosomal RNA", at positions 524 to 776 of the family's 1533-position model. The record is from RNAcentral.
UACGGAGGGGGCUAGCGUUGUUCGGAAUUACUGGGCGUAAAGCGCACGUAGGCGGAUCAGUUAGUCAGGGGUGAAAUCCCGGGGCUCAACCCCGGAACUGCCUUUGAUACUGCUGGUCUGGAGGUCGGGAGAGGCGAGUGGAAUUCCGAGUGUAGAGGUGAAAUUCGUAGAUAUUCGGAGGAACACCAGUGGCGAAGGCGGCUCGCUGGCCCGAUACUGACGCUGAGGUGCGAAAGCGUGGGGAGCAAACAGG